UGGGCUCCGGAGCCGAUUUUGCCAUGCUAGUUGCACGAGUUCACACUCGUAGCAUAUAGCUCAGUAACACGUGGUCAAGCUACCCUGCAGACACGGACAACCUCGGGAAACUGAGGCUAAUCCGCGAUACCGAUCCCACGCUGGAAUGCCGGGAUCCACAAACGCUCCGGCGCUGCAGGAUGCGGCUGCGGCCGAUUAGGUAGACGGUGGGGUAACGGCCCACCGUGCCGAUAAUCGGUACGGGUUGUGAGAGCAAGAGCCCGGAGACGGAAUCUGAGACAAGAUUCCGGGCCCUACGGGGCGCAGCAGGCGCGAAACCUUUACACUGCACGCAAGUGCGAUAAGGGGACUCCGAGUGCGAGGGCAUAUAGUCCUCGCUUUUGAGAACCGUAAGGCGGUUCUCGAAUAAGAGCUGGGCAAGACCGGUGCCAGCCGCCGCGGUAAUACCGGCAGCUCAAGUGAUGGCCAAUCUUAUUGGGCCUAAAGCGUCCGUAGCUGGCCACGAAAGUCCGUCGGGAAAUCCAUCUGCCCAACAGAUGGGCGUCCGGCGGAAACUUCGUGGCUUGGGACCGGAAGGCUCGAGGGGUACGUCCGGGGUAGGAGUGAAAUCCCGUAAUCCUGGACGGACCGCCGAUGGCGAAAGCACCUCGAGAAGACGGAUCCGACAGUGAGGGACGAAAGCUAGGGUCUCGAACCGGAUUAGAUACCCGGGUAGUCCUAGCCGUAAACAAUGUUCACUAGGUGUGGCACAGCUACGAGCCUGUGCUGUGCCGUAGGCAAGCCGAGAAGUGAACCGCUGGUAGUACGUCGCAGAUGAAACUUAAAUGGAUUGGCGGGGAGCACUACACGGAGGAGCUGCUGUUUAUGAUCUCCCCCCCCCGGAAA
RNAcentral lists this ribosomal RNA (885 nucleotides) under Halogeometricum borinquense. RNAcentral's name for it is "bacterial SSU rRNA". It matches the Rfam family "Archaeal small subunit ribosomal RNA", at positions 27 to 925 of the family's 1478-position model. Lineage: Archaea; Methanobacteriati; Methanobacteriota; Halobacteria; Halobacteriales; Haloferacaceae. The record is from RNAcentral.